RNAcentral lists this ribosomal RNA (274 nucleotides) under uncultured bacterium. Its description in RNAcentral is "partial 16S ribosomal RNA". It matches the Rfam family "Bacterial small subunit ribosomal RNA", at positions 523 to 796 of the family's 1533-position model. The record is from RNAcentral.
AUACGGAGGGUGCGAGCGUUAAUCGGAAUUACUGGGCGUAAAGGGUGCGUAGGCGGCUUGAUAAGUCGGAUGUGAAAGCCCCGGGCUUAACCUGGGAAUUGCAUUCGAUACUGUCAGGCUAGAGUAUGUCAGAGGUUGGCGGAAUUCCUGGUGUAGCGGUGAAAUGCGUAGAUAUCAGGAGGAACACCAGUGGCGAAGGCGGCUAACUGGGACAAUACUGACGCUGAGGCACGAAAGCGUGGGGAGCAAACAGGAGUAGAAGCCCUAGUAGUCC